Molecule: transfer RNA, 68 nt
Filed under: Marmota monax (woodchuck)
Lineage: Eukaryota; Metazoa; Chordata; Mammalia; Rodentia; Sciuridae
Description: tRNA.Ala
Rfam family: tRNA (bases 7-63)
About the family: Transfer RNA (tRNA) molecules are approximately 80 nucleotides in length. Their secondary structure includes four short double-helical elements and three loops (D, anti-codon, and T loops).
Source: RNAcentral
GGAUUAUGGCUCAGUGGUAGAGUGCUUGCCUAGCAUGCAUGAGGCACUGGGUUCGAUCCUCAGAACCA